This 485-nucleotide ribosomal RNA is filed under the name uncultured bacterium. RNAcentral's name for it is "partial 16S ribosomal RNA". It matches the Rfam family "Bacterial small subunit ribosomal RNA", at positions 29 to 523 of the family's 1533-position model. The record is from RNAcentral.
AGUGAACGCUGGCGGCGUGCUUAACACAUGCAAGUCGAACGAGAACGGAUUAUAGCUUGCUAUAAUUGUCAGCUAAGUGGCGCACGGGUGAGUAAUGUAUAGAUAACCUGCCCUCUAGAAAGGAAUAACAGUUGGAAACGACUGCUAAUGCCCUAUAUGCCUUUAAUACAUAAGUAUGCAAGGGAAACGCUUUAGUGCUAGAGGAUGGGUCUGUAUGGUAUCAGUUAGUUGGUGAGGUAAUGGCUCCCCAAGACAAUGACGCCUAACUGGUUUGAGAGGAUGAUCAGUCACACUGUAACUGAGACACGGUCCAGACUCCUACGGGAGGCAGCAGUGGGGAAUAUUGCACAAUGGACGAAAGUCUGAUGCAGCAACGCCGCGUGGAGGAUGACACAUUUCGGUGCGUAAACUCCUUUUAUAUAGGAAGAUAAUGACGGUACUAUAUGAAUAAGCACCGGCUAACUCCGUGCCAGCCGCCGCCGUAA